Molecule: ribosomal RNA, 244 nt
Filed under: uncultured Streptococcus sp.
Lineage: Bacteria; Bacillati; Bacillota; Bacilli; Lactobacillales; Streptococcaceae
Description: partial 16S ribosomal RNA
Rfam family: Bacterial small subunit ribosomal RNA
Source: RNAcentral
CUAGCGAGACUGCCGGUAAUAAACCGGAGGAAGGUCGGGGAGUGACGUCAAAUCAUCAUGCCCUUAUGACCUGGGCUACACACGUGCUACAAUGGUUGGUACAACGAGUUGCGAGUCGGUGACGGCGAGCUAAUCUCUUAAAGCCAAUCUCAGUUCGGAUUGUAGGCUGCAACUCGCCUACAUGAAGUCGGAAUCGCUAGUAAUCGCGGAUCAGCACGCCGCGGUGAAUACGUUCCCGGGCCUU